RNAcentral lists this ribosomal RNA (446 nucleotides) under uncultured bacterium. RNAcentral describes it as "partial 16S ribosomal RNA". It matches the Rfam family "Bacterial small subunit ribosomal RNA", at positions 355 to 792 of the family's 1533-position model. The record is from RNAcentral.
UAGGGAAUCUUCCACAAUGGACGCAAGUCUGAUGGAGCAACGCCGCGUGAGUGAAGAAGGCUUUCGGGUCGUAAAACUCUGUUGUUGGAGAAGAAUGGUCGGCAGAGUAACUGUUGUCGGCGUGACGGUAUCCAACCAGAAAGCCACGGCUAACUACGUGCCAGCAGCCGCGGUAAUACGUAGGUGGCAAGCGUUAUCCGGAUUUAUUGGGCGUAAAGCGAGCGCAGGCGGUUUUUUAAGUCUGAUGUGAAAGCCCUCGGCUUAACCGAGGAAGUGCAUCGGAAACUGGGAAACUUGAGUGCAGAAGAGGACAGUGGAACUCCAUGUGUAGCGGUGAAAUGCGUAGAUAUAUGGAAGAACACCAGUGGCGAAGGCAGCUGUCUGGUCUGUAACUGACGCUGAGGCUCGAAAGCAUGGGUAGCGAACAGGAUUAGAUACCCUUGGUA